GACGAACCGUGCGAACGUUGUUCGGAUUCACUGGGCAUAAAGGGCGCGUAGGCGGACGGUCAAGUCGGGGGUGAAAUCUUUCAGCUUAACUGGAAAAGUGCCUCCGAUACUGACUGUCUCGAGGGAGGUAGGGGCAUGUGGAACUUCCGGUGGAGCGGUGAAAUGCGUAGAUAUCGGAAGGAACGCCGGUGGCGAAAGCACUCUGCUGGGCCGACACUGACACUGAGAGACGAAAGCUAGGGGAGCGAAUGGG
RNAcentral lists this ribosomal RNA (253 nucleotides) under uncultured bacterium. RNAcentral describes it as "partial 16S ribosomal RNA". It matches the Rfam family "Bacterial small subunit ribosomal RNA", at positions 524 to 776 of the family's 1533-position model. The record is from RNAcentral.